Long non-coding RNA from Ipomoea nil (Japanese morning glory), 186 nucleotides. RefSeq lists it as uncharacterized. The record is from RefSeq and is a predicted model, not a curated record. The transcript is spliced from 2 exons. NCBI's taxonomy places the organism in Eukaryota, Viridiplantae, Streptophyta, Magnoliopsida, Solanales, Convolvulaceae.
AGUGGAUCUGCUCUUGUUUCCACCAUUUUUAACAUCCUGAAUUCCAUGUAAAACAUUCAACAAAAGUAAAGAGUAUAGAGAACCUGACCAUACCUGAUUUAGCCACUUGCCAACUACACAAGUGCAGGAUGCCAAUAUAAAUUUGUAUAAUAUUUUACAUGAAUAAAACUUCACGUUCUUUUUACA